Molecule: transfer RNA, 57 nt
Filed under: Dipodomys ordii (Ord's kangaroo rat)
Lineage: Eukaryota; Metazoa; Chordata; Mammalia; Rodentia; Heteromyidae
Rfam family: tRNA
About the family: Transfer RNA (tRNA) molecules are approximately 80 nucleotides in length.
Source: Rfam by way of RNAcentral
AGCUCAGUGGUAGAGUACUUGCCUUGAAUGCAUGAGGCCCUGGGUUCAAUUCCUCAG